RNAcentral lists this ribosomal RNA (324 nucleotides) under Triticum aestivum (bread wheat). RNAcentral describes it as "partial small subunit ribosomal RNA". Lineage: Eukaryota; Viridiplantae; Streptophyta; Magnoliopsida; Poales; Poaceae. The record is from RNAcentral.
AUGCCUGCUCACAAUGGUGGAAGGCAAAGUCAGAUGAGAAUCAGAUGCAGAAGCAGUUGGGAAAUGCUCCCACUGCGCGGGAUCAAAAGCAACAACACGUUAUCCAUUUGCAUUCAAAGUUGGUGUGACAACGACGUUCAAAGUGCUGCUAUUGUUUUGCACCCACCAUUAGGACAGCCAAAUAUAGUGUUCUUCCAUGUUCUAUAUUGCACUCCCAUCGGUCCUUUUUACUCUGUAUAUAAAAUUUGUCUGGAGUCAAGCUUGGUAAUGUUUGAUCAACUUUAUAUAAUAAAUAUUAACAUUCACAAUACGAAAUCAAUAUAA